Molecule: non-coding RNA, 24 nt
Filed under: Cricetulus griseus (Chinese hamster)
Lineage: Eukaryota; Metazoa; Chordata; Mammalia; Rodentia; Cricetidae
Source: RNAcentral
UAUUUUUAAUGACAGCACUCCCUC